Molecule: ribosomal RNA, 906 nt
Filed under: Pseudogymnoascus pannorum
Lineage: Eukaryota; Fungi; Ascomycota; Leotiomycetes; Thelebolales; Thelebolaceae
Description: partial large subunit ribosomal RNA
Rfam family: Eukaryotic large subunit ribosomal RNA
Source: RNAcentral
GCAUAUCAAUAAGCGGAGGAAAAGAAACCAACAGGGAUUACCUCAGUAACGGCGAGUGAAGCGGUAACAGCUCAAAUUUGAAAUCUGGCCUCACGGUCCGAGUUGUAAUUUGUAGAGGAUGCUUCGAGCAUGGUCUGGCCUAAGUUCCUUGGAACAGGACGUCAUAGAGGGUGAGAAUCCCGUAUGCGGCCAGGUGCCUACGCUCAUGUGAAGCUCCUUCGACGAGUCGAGUUGUUUGGGAAUGCAGCUCAAAAUGGGUGGUAAAUUUCAUCUAAAGCUAAAUAUUGGCCAGAGACCGAUAGCGCACAAGUAGAGUGAUCGAAAGAUGAAAAGCACUUUGGAAAGAGAGUUAAACAGUACGUGAAAUUGUUGAAAGGGAAGCGCUUGCAACCAGACUUGCGCGCGGCCGAUCAUCCGGUGUUCUCACCGGUGCACUCGGCCGUGCUCAGGCCAGCAUCGGUUUUGGCGGCUGGAUAAAGGCCCUAGGAAUGUAGCUCCUCUCGGGGAGUGUUAUAGCCUAGGGUGCAAUGCAGCCUGCCGGGACCGAGGACCGCGCUUCGGCUAGGAUGCUGGCGUAAUGGUUGUAAGCGGCCCGUCUUGAAACACGGACCAAGGAGUCUAACAUCUAUGCGAGUGUUUGGGUGUCAAACCCAUACGCGUAAUGAAAGUGAACGGAGGUGAGAACCCUUAAGGGUGCAUCAUCGACCGAUCCUGAUGUCUUCGGAAGGAUUUGAGUAAGAGCAUAGCUGUUGGGACCCGAAAGAUGGUGAACUAUGCCUGAAUAGGGUGAAGCCAGAGGAAACUCUGGUGGAGGCUCGCAGCGGUUCUGACGUGCAAAUCGAUCGUCAAAUUUGGGUAUAGGGGCGAAAGACUAAUCGAACCAUCUAGUAGCUGGUUCCUGCCGAA